CUGUCCUUUUAUCAGUCAUCAUUAGUUCCCUUUUAGUUCUCCCUCCUUCUCCCUGCUGAGGUCACUUUUUGACCUCCUGGUCACUUCCCCUCCAUCACAGAAAGACUUGAAUAUUGGCUCACUUUUUCUUGGUUAACUUUAACAUCUACCUGGACAACCAAUCCAACAUCUUGAUCUUAAAGUCCCUUGACCACAGCCCCUAUUCCCAUGGUCAGAUACUGACCCUACUGCCCUCAGAAACCACAUUAACCACUCUUCCCCAUUUCAAAAUGUGGAGAAA
Molecule: non-coding RNA, 280 nt
Organism: Ceratotherium simum simum (southern white rhinoceros)
Lineage: Eukaryota; Metazoa; Chordata; Mammalia; Perissodactyla; Rhinocerotidae
Source: RefSeq, a predicted model, not a curated record